Molecule: long non-coding RNA, 271 nt
Organism: Apis dorsata (giant honeybee)
Lineage: Eukaryota; Metazoa; Arthropoda; Insecta; Hymenoptera; Apidae
Exons: 3
Source: RefSeq, a predicted model, not a curated record
GAAAUAGAGGAUAAAGUUAGGAUAGAGUUUAGUUCCUACGAAUGCCGCUACAGUGCGCUUCACGCGUAGCGAUCUUCUCGCAAGUAGAAUCGUCAUGUUGAUUUACAAAUUGUCGUGGAAAAGGGAGCGAGGCAUACUUACCUGGCGCAGAGGUAACCGUGAUCACAAAGGCGGUCCCUCCAGGGCGAGGCUUUUCCAUUGCACUGUGGCUGAGCUGACCCCUGCGAAUACCCCUAAUGUGGGUAUCUCGGGCGGAACGCACGUCGACUGU